GGACUACUGGGGUUUCUAAUCCUGUUUGCUCCCCACGCUUUCGUGCCUGAGCGUCAGUGUUGGCCCAGGGGGCUGCCUUCGCCAUCGGUGUUCCUCCGCAUCUCUACGCAUUUCACUGCUACACGCGGAAUUCCACCCCCCUCUGCCACACUCCAAGCCCGCCAGUUUCCAUUGCCGUUCCCAGGUUGAGCCCGGGGCUUUCACAACGAACUUAACGAACCGCCUGCGCACGCUUUACGCCCAGUAAUUCCGAUUAACGCUCGCACCCUACGUAUUACCGCGGCUGCUGGCAC
Molecule: ribosomal RNA, 293 nt
Filed under: uncultured bacterium
Lineage: Bacteria
Description: partial 16S ribosomal RNA
Source: RNAcentral